This 344-nucleotide unclassified non-coding RNA is filed under the name soil metagenome. RNAcentral describes it as "partial contains 5.8S ribosomal RNA, internal transcribed spacer 2, and large subunit ribosomal RNA". The stretch from base 1 to 120 matches the Rfam family "5.8S ribosomal RNA", at positions 35 to 154 of the family's 154-position model. The record is from RNAcentral.
GAUGAAGAACGUAGCGAAAUGCGAUACGUAAUGUGAAUUGCAGAAUUCAGUGAAUCAUCGAGUCUUUGAACGCACAUUGCGCCCCCUGGUAUUCCGGGGGGCAUGCCUGUCCGAGCGUCAUUGCUGCCCUCAAGCACGGCUUGUGUGUUGGGCCUCCGUCCUCCUCCCGGGGGACGGGCCCGAAAGGCAGCGGCGGCACCGCGCCCGGUCCUCGAGCGUAUGGGGCUUCGUCACCCGCUCUUGUAGGCCCGGCCGGCGCUUGCCGACACAUCAAUCUUUUUUCCAGGUUGACCUCGGAUCAGGUAGGGAUACCCGCUGAACUUAAGCAUAUCAAUAACGGAGGA